Molecule: long non-coding RNA, 253 nt
Filed under: Gossypium barbadense (sea-island cotton)
Lineage: Eukaryota; Viridiplantae; Streptophyta; Magnoliopsida; Malvales; Malvaceae
Description: long non-coding RNA (GBAR_LNC003815)
Source: RNAcentral
GAGUAUGGUGGUGGAUACAAGCCGGGAGGAGUAGAGAAUGUCGAUGGAUACGAGCCAGAAGGAACGGAGUACGGUGGUGGAUACGAGCUAGAAAUAGCGGAGUACGGUGGUGGAUAUGAGCUAGAAUAAGCGGAGUAUGGUGGUGGAUACGAGUUGGAAGGAGUAGAGUAUUGUGGUGGAUACGAGCCGGAAUGAGCGGAGUACGAUGGUGGGCUGAAGAUAUCAAACUCUGAAUGAUAUCCGUGGGAUGAAG